UGGGGGUAAAGCGUGCGUAGGCGGUUUAUUAAGUCAGAUGUGAAAGCCCCGGGCUUAACCUGGGAACUGCAUUUGAAACUGGUCAACUAGAGUAUGGUAGAGGAAAGUGGAAUUUCUGGUGUAGCGGUGAAACGCGUAGAUAUCAGAAGGAACAUCAAUGGCGAAGGCAGCUUUCUGGACCAAUACUGACGCUGAGGUACGAAAGCGUGGGUAGCAAACAGGAUUAGAUACCCUGGUAGUCCACGCCGUAAACGAUGAUAACUAGCCGUUGGGGGGAUUUACCCUUUAGUGGCGAAGCUAACGCGUUAAGUUAUCCGCCUGGGGAGUACGGCCGCAAGGUUAAAACUCAAAGGAAUUGACGGGGACCCGCACAAGCGGUGGAGCAUGUGGUUUAAUUCGAUGCAACGCGAAGAACCUUACCUGGUCUUGACAUCCUGCGAACUUUCUAGAAAUAGAUUGGUGCCUUCGGGAACGCAGUGACAGGUGCUGCAUGGCUGUCGUCAGCUCGUGUCGUGAGAUGUUGGGUUAAGUCCCGUAACGAGCGCAACCCCUAUCCUUAUUUGCCAGCACGUCAUGGUGGGAACUAUAAGGAGACUGCCGGUGAUAAACCGGAGGAAGGCGGGGACGACGUCAAGUCAUCAUGGCCCUUACGACCAGGGCUACACACGUGCUACAAUGGGAAGGACAAAGAGCCGCGAAGCCGCGAGGUGUAGCUAAUCUCAGAAACCUUUUCGUAGUCCGGAUUGGAGUCUGCAACUCGACUCCAUGAAGUCGGAAUCGCUAGUAAUCGUAGAUCAGAACGCUACGGUGAAUACGUUCCCGGGUCUU
This 828-nucleotide ribosomal RNA is filed under the name uncultured organism. RNAcentral's name for it is "bacterial SSU rRNA". It matches the Rfam family "Bacterial small subunit ribosomal RNA", at positions 555 to 1382 of the family's 1533-position model. The record is from RNAcentral.